Molecule: ribosomal RNA, 1345 nt
Filed under: metagenome
Description: bacterial LSU rRNA
Rfam family: Bacterial large subunit ribosomal RNA
Source: RNAcentral
GUUUCAGGGCUAGGCUUAACCUCCCUGAGUAAAGUAACGGCCUCUAAGGUUUUUAAAGCUCACAAGAGUGAACCCCGAUAGGGGUAACCGAUGAGAAAAACUGAUUUAGAUAACAGUUUUAAAUUUAUACAUAUCGGUAACGGUAUAGUUUUAAAUUUAAAAUUCAGGAAAUGAUCUAGAUAAUUAACCGUACCCUAAACCGACACUGGUCUGCUGGUAGAGUAUACCAAGGCGUUGAGCGAAUCAUCUUGAAGGAACUCGGCAAAAUGACUCCGUAACUUCGGAAGAAGGAGUACGACUUUUAUAGUCGUGGCACAGAAUAGAAGAGUACGACUGUUUACUUAAAACACCGGUCUUUGCUAAUAGGAAACUAGAUGUAUAAAGACUGAUACCUGCUCAGUGCUGGUAAGUCAAGAGAGGUACUAUUAAGGUACUGAUUGAACCUCCAGUAAACAGCGGUUGUAACUAUAACGAUCCUCAGGUAGCGAAAUACCUUGGCCACUAAUUAUGGUCGUGCAUGAAUGGUGUAACGAUACUCUUACUGUCUCCAAGAUGAGCUCAGUGAAAUUGAAUUAUCCGUGCAGAUGCGGAUUACCAUUAGCUAGACGGGAAGACCCUAUGCAGCUUUACUGUAGUUAGUCAUUGUGUGCUUAUAAUUAAGGUGUAGAAUACAAGGGAGUCGAUUAGACGUCAGUGAAAUACCUUGACUUAAUUAGGAACACGCUAAACCAAAUUUUUGGGACAGUGAUUAAUGGGCAGUUUAUCUGGGGCGGAUUUCUCCCAUAUAGUACCGGAGAAGUACGAAGGUCGGCUUAAAUUGGAUGGAAACCAAUGGGCUAAAGAGAGCCUAAUUAAGUGUAAUGGCAUAAGCCGGCUUAACUGUAAGACUGACAAGUCAUACAGAUACGCAAGUAGGUCAUAGUGAUCCGGUGGUACAUUAUGGAAUGGCCAUCGCUCAACGAAUAAAAGCUACGCUAGGGAUAACAGGCUGAUCAAUCUCGAGAGUCCAUAUUGACAGAUUGGUUUGGCACCUCGAUGUCGACUCAUCCUAUCCUGGGGGUGUAGGCGCUCCCAAGGGUUCGGCUGUUCGCCGAGUAAAAGGGUACGUGAGUUGGGUUAAGUACGUCGUGAGACAGUACGGUUCCUAUCUACUAAUGGAAUUAGAAUCGGACAAGAACAUUACUCUAGUACGAGAGGACCGAGUGAUAUGAACCUCUGGUAUACCUGUUAUUGUUUACUACCUAUUUUAGGUCUGUUACAGUACGGCAGGAAAGCUACGUUCAGAAAGGAUAACCGCUGAUAGCGUCUUAAGCGGGAAGCCCAUCUUGGCACGAUUCUUUAUUAG